RNAcentral lists this ribosomal RNA (327 nucleotides) under uncultured eukaryote. RNAcentral describes it as "partial 18S ribosomal RNA". It matches the Rfam family "Eukaryotic small subunit ribosomal RNA", at positions 1470 to 1796 of the family's 1831-position model. The record is from RNAcentral.
CCCUUAGAUGUUCUGGGCCGCACGCGCGCUACACUGAUUCAUGCAACGAGUUUUGUCCUUGGCUGAAAGGCCUGGGUAAUCUUUGAACGUGAAUCGUACUGGGGAUAGAUGAUUGCAAUUAUUCAUCUUCAACGAGGAAUUCCUAGUAAACGCAAGUCAUCAGCUUGCAUUGAUUACGUCCCUGCCCUUUGUACACACCGCCCGUCGCACCUACCGAUUGAAUGGUCCGGUGAAAUCUUCGGAUCUGAGAGAUGUUGGAUUAAUUUCUGACGCCUUUUGGAAAAGUCGCUUAAACCUUAUCAUUUAGAGGAAGGUGAAGUCGUAACA